AGUAUGGAACAGUAGUCGAUCGACAGCUUGGGCUUUCAGGACAGGAGGUUGUUACCCUUUGUAAGGAAAUUCUUGGCAAAGUUCAUAUCAUCUUUACAGAUAUUUUUUACACAAGUCCUACACUUGCUGAUUAUCUAUUGUUGGAGGAGACGUACCUGUGCGGCACUGUUCGGAUCAACAGGAAAGGCUACCCGACGGCACAGCUACCAACAGGAAGAGAUGCUACUCGUCUCGAAUGUGGAUCCAUCGACUGGGUUGCCCGUGGAGACUUCGUCGCGACGAUGUGGAAGGACAACAGGCCGGUCUACUUCCUAUCUACAGGAUUUCCCCCCCGGAGGAAGAAGGACUGACGACAAAGAGGAGGAAGAAGGAUGGAACUCGGGAGGAACUUGCUGUAACACCAGCGGUGGUAGAGUAUGGAAAGUACAUGGGGGGUGUAGAUAAGCUUGAUCAGAACACGCGUGUGAACAAGAGUAAAAAAAUCUAUGAAAUGGUACAGGCGUGUUGAGAUCAAGCUAAGAGAGAUUGCGAUUUAUAAUGCAUAUCUCAUUGAAGGUACGAUCAACGAUCACAACCCCAAGGGAAGACGCAAGAGAGAUCUCCUGUCCUUCCGACUUGACCUGGCCCAUCAGCUCCUCGGCAACAUCACCAACAGGAACACCUCACAGCGACAUGGUGACCAUGAGGAACAGCGCCUGGACUGCAACAACCACUGGUCUGAUGCAGCAGUAAGUAGUUACUGUGCGUGCCGCGUAUGUACUAAAAAACAUCAAGUGUUUCUGACAUCCCAUCCAGGAGUGGCCUACAAAGACAACCCAUACAAGAGGUCAAAGACGUCCAUGAAGUGCUCCAAGUGUGACGUCCCACUUUGCUGUUCCUCAAAGAAGAGCUGUUUCCAAGAGUACCAUACUAAGGUCCAGUAUUGGCGCUGAUUAUCCACCGAAGCCCUUUGCCACAAACAUUUGUAAAUAUUGUAAAUAUAUUUAUUGCCACUUUUAAUAAUUGUAAAUAUAUUUAUUUCCACUUCUUAUAGUUGUAAAUAUAUUUAUUACAUCUAUUAUGUACACAUAUCUAUUUCACACUUUUGUGAUACUUUUAUUUAUUACGUUAUGCUUGUUUACAUUUAUUCUUUGUUAUACUGUGAUACGUUUUCCUUUCAGGUUGGAGUCCAAUGAAUGUACUCGGUUAUCCUGCAUCUCAAUGUAAUAUAUUGUAAUGUAAUUCAAUGGUCUAAUAGAACUUCUUUUCAGCACAUGUAAGCCGUUUUUUGACAAGUAAAUUUUUAGCAAUAAAAGUAUUGGUAACUUACUUCUUCUCAGAAGUAGUUCGCAUAAACGUUUUAUCUUUCAAACACAAACAUUAAAUUAUUUAAGCUAUGAAUAACUUUAAAAGUAACUUUUGACAUAGUUUGUGUGUUUUUCAAGCUUAUACGUUGCAGAUUACAAUUUAAAAAGGGAGGCAACUCUUGGCUACAACUUUUUUUUCUGAUCGCAGUCCAAAUUGUAGUUGGGCGGUUUGUCGUCGAAUGUCCUUGUAUUUGGCACAAUUUGAAUAAAAUUUAUUUCCAUAUUCAUGUUUGCUUUUGUUGUUUUUUCAUCCUAGUUUAAAUUUUAGUAACUGUAAUAAUUAUUUUAUUUAUUUAUUGAAUUAUUAAGUACUAAUUUAAUUUAUUAUGCAGUAAAUAGCCAUGCAUUGUAAAUAUGUUAUCACAAGUUGUAUAUUUGUUGGACUUACAAUCUUUCCGUCCUUUCAGCUCGUUUGGUAAUGUCUUCCCUGUGAUGUCUUUCUUGCAGUAGCUGUCGUUCAAUGUUCAGAUGUGCAUUAGGAGGAUUUACCUGUAACACCUGGGAUUACCUGUGCCGUCCACGAUGACAAGCCAAGACCACCCCAUUGUAUCUGUGAUUUAUUUUUGUGAUUUUGAAUACAUUUUGAACCCAAA
Haliotis rufescens (red abalone) is the source of this 1939-nucleotide long non-coding RNA. RefSeq lists it as uncharacterized. The record is from RefSeq and is a predicted model, not a curated record. NCBI's taxonomy places the organism in Eukaryota, Metazoa, Mollusca, Gastropoda, Lepetellida, Haliotidae. The transcript is spliced from 2 exons.